This 515-nucleotide ribosomal RNA is filed under the name Aeromonas veronii. RNAcentral describes it as "bacterial SSU rRNA". It matches the Rfam family "Bacterial small subunit ribosomal RNA", at positions 1 to 503 of the family's 1533-position model. The record is from RNAcentral. Lineage: Bacteria; Pseudomonadati; Pseudomonadota; Gammaproteobacteria; Aeromonadales; Aeromonadaceae.
AAAUUGAAGAGUUUGAUCAUGGCUCAGAUUGAACGCUGGCGGCAGGCCUAACACAUGCAAGUCGAGCGGCAGCGGGAAAGUAGCUUGCUACUUUUGCCGGCGAGCGGCGGACGGGUGAGUAAUGCCUGGGGAUCUGCCCAGUCGAGGGGGAUAACAGUUGGAAACGACUGCUAAUACCGCAUACGCCCUACGGGGGAAAGGAGGGGACCUUCGGACCUUUCGCGAUUGGAUGAACCCAGGUGGGAUUAGCUAGUUGGUGAGGUAAUGGCUCACCAAGGCGACGAUCCCUAGCUGGUCUGAGAGGAUGAUCAGCCACACUGGAACUGAGACACGGUCCAGACUCCUACGGGAGGCAGCAGUGGGGAAUAUUGCACAAUGGGGGAAACCCUGAUGCAGCCAUGCCGCGUGUGUGAAGAAGGCCUUCGGGUUGUAAAGCACUUUCAGCGAGGAGGAAAGGUUGGUAGCUAAUAACUGCCAGCUGUGACGUUACUCGCAGAAGAAGCACCGGCUAACUC